AAACUAACAAGGAUUCCCCUAGUAACGGCGAGUGAACCGGGAAGAGCUCAAAUUUGAAAUCUGGCGUCCUCAGGGCGUCCGAGUUGUAAUCUAUAGAGGCGUUUUCCGUGCCGGACCGUGUCCAAGUUCCUUGGAACAGGAUAUCAAAGAGGGUGACAAUCCCGUACUUGACACGACGACCGGUGCUCUGUGAUACGUCUUCUACGAGUCGAGUUGUUUGGGAAUGCAGCUCAAAAUGGGUGGUGAGUUCCAUCUAAAGCUAAAUAUUGGCGAGAGACCGAUAGCGAACAAGUACCGUGAGGGAAAGAUGAAAAGCACUUUGGAAAGAGAGUUAAACAGUACGUGAAAUUGUUGAAAGGGAAACGAUUGAAGUCAGUCGUGACCGAGAGGCUCAGCCGGUUCUGCCGGUGUAUUCCCCUCGGUCGGGUCAACAUCAGUUUUGUCCGGUGGAUAAGGGCGGUAGGAAGGUGGCACCCUCGGGUGUGUUAUAGCCUGCCGUCGCAUACAUCGGGUGAGACUGAGGAACGCAGCUCGCCUUUAUGGCCGGGGUUCGCCCACGUCCGAGCUUAGGAUGUUGACAUAAUGGCUUUAAA
This 593-nucleotide ribosomal RNA is filed under the name Cryptococcus sp. YS NB5. RNAcentral's name for it is "eukaryotic LSU rRNA". It matches the Rfam family "Eukaryotic large subunit ribosomal RNA", at positions 62 to 644 of the family's 3401-position model. The record is from RNAcentral. Lineage: Eukaryota; Fungi; Basidiomycota; Tremellomycetes; Tremellales; Cryptococcaceae.